CAGCCGCCGCGGGAAUACGAGGGGGGCAAGCGUUGUUCGGAAUUAUUGGGCGUAAAGCGUGCGCAGGCGGUUAUAUAAGUCAGAUGUGAAAUCCCCGGGCUCAACCUGGGAACUGCAUUUGAGACUGUAUGGCUAGAGUGUGUCAGAGGGGGGUAGAAUUCCACGUGUAGCAGUGAAAUGCGUAGAUAUGUGGAGGAAUACCGAUGGCGAAGGCAGCCCCCUGGGAUAACACUGACGCUCAUGCACGAAAGCGUGGGGAGCAAACAGGAUUAGAUACCCCAGUAGUCCCUGUCUCUUAUAC
This 301-nucleotide ribosomal RNA is filed under the name uncultured bacterium. Its description in RNAcentral is "partial 16S ribosomal RNA". It matches the Rfam family "Bacterial small subunit ribosomal RNA", at positions 509 to 807 of the family's 1533-position model. The record is from RNAcentral.